CAAGUCGGACGGGAUUUUCUUUGGUAGCAAUACCGGAGAAAAUUCAGUGGCGAACGGGUGCGUAACACGUGGGCAAUCUGUCUUAAAGUGGGGGAUAGCUCGGCGAAAGCCGAAUUAAUACCGCAUGUGGUCAGAGGCGACAUCGCUUCGAAAUCAAAGGUGGCGCAAGCUACCGCUUUUUGAGGAGCCCGCGGCCUAUCAGCUUGUUGGUGAGGUAACGGCUCACCAAGGCGUUGACGGGUAGCUGGUCUGAGAGGACGACCAGUCACACUGGGACUGAGACACGGCCCAGACACCUACGGGUGGCAGCAGUCGAGAAUUUUUCUCAAUGGGGGAAACCCUGAAGGAGCGACGCCGCGUGGAGGAUGAAGGUCUUCGGGUUGUAAACUCCUGUCAUUUGGGAACAAGUCGUACGUAUUAACUGUACGUGCGUUGAUAGUACCAGAAGAGGAAGAGACGGCUAACUCUGUGCCAGCAGCCGCGGUAAUACAGAGGUCUCAAGCGUUGUUCGGAUUCAUUGGGCGUAAAGGGUGCGUAGGCGGCGCGGUAAGUCGGGUGUGAAAUCUCGGAGCUUAACUCCGAAACUGCAUUCGAUACUGCCGUGCUUGAGGACUGGAGAGGAGACUGGAAUUUACGGUGUAGCGGUGAAAUGCGUAGAUAUCGUAAGGAAGACCAGUGGCGAAGGCGGGUCUCUGGACAGUUCCUGACGCUGAGGCACGAAGGCCAGGGGAGCAAACGGGAUUAGAUACCCCGGUAGUCCUGGCAGUAAACGGUGCACGUUUGGUGUGGGAGGAUUCGACCCCUUCUGCGCCGGAGCUAACGCGUUAAACGUGCCGCCCGGGGAGUACGGUCGCAAGAUUAAAACUCAAAGAAAUUGAC
Molecule: ribosomal RNA, 879 nt
Filed under: uncultured Verrucomicrobiota bacterium
Lineage: Bacteria; Pseudomonadati; Verrucomicrobiota
Description: bacterial SSU rRNA
Rfam family: Bacterial small subunit ribosomal RNA
Source: RNAcentral